Molecule: ribosomal RNA, 450 nt
Filed under: uncultured bacterium
Lineage: Bacteria
Description: partial 16S ribosomal RNA
Rfam family: Bacterial small subunit ribosomal RNA
Source: RNAcentral
GUGGGGAAUUUUGGACAAUGGGCGCAAGCCUGAUCCAGCAAUGCCGCGUGCAGGAAGAAGGCCUUCGGGUUGUAAACUGCUUUUGUACGGAACGAAACGGUCCUGGUUAAUACCUGGGGCUAAUGACGGUACCGUAAGAAUAAGCACCGGCUAACUACGUGCCAGCAGCCGCGGUAAUACGUAGGGUGCAAGCGUUAAUCGGAAUUACUGGGCGUAAAGCGUGCGCAGGCGGUUUUGUAAGACAGACGUGAAAUCCCCGGGCUCAACCUGGGAAUGGCGUUUGUGACUGCAAAGCUGGAGUGCGGCAGAGGGGGAUGGAAUUCCGCGUGUAGCAGUGAAAUGCGUAGAUAUGCGGAGGAACACCGAUGGCGAAGGCAAUCCCCUGGGCCUGCACUGACGCUCAUGCACGAAAGCGUGGGGAGCAAACAGGAUUAGAAACCCUGGUAGUCC